RNAcentral lists this ribosomal RNA (1698 nucleotides) under Micropogonias undulatus (Atlantic croaker). Its description in RNAcentral is "16S ribosomal RNA". The stretch from base 109 to 1586 matches the Rfam family "Bacterial large subunit ribosomal RNA". Lineage: Eukaryota; Metazoa; Chordata; Actinopteri; Sciaenidae. The record is from RNAcentral.
CGCCCAUUAGCUAGCCGCCUCCCCCAAAAACAACAAAACCCUAUCAAUACCCCCUAAUACACUCAAAACACUUUAAACAAACCAUUUUUCCCCCCAAGUACGGGCGACAGAAAAGGAACUACCGCGCUAUAGAGAAAGUACCGCAAGGGAACGCUGAAAGAGAAAUGAAACAACCCAGUAAAGCCUAAAAAAGCAGAGCUUAAAACUCGUACCUUUUGCAUCAUGAUUUAGCUAGAAAAUCUCAAGCAAAGAGCACUUUAGUUUGAUUCCCCGAAACUACGUGAGCUACUCCAAGACAGCCUAACAAUAAGGGCCAACCCGUCUCUGUGGCAAAAGAGUGGGAAGAGCUUCGAGUAGAGGUGACAGACCUACCGAACCUAGUUAUAGCUGGUUGCCUGAGAAAUGAAUAGAAGUUCAGCCUCUCGGAUUCUUCCCUCACCACUGUUCUCCUCCCCCUUGACAGCCAAAAGAAGCCGAAAGAGUUAGUCAAAGGGGGUACAGCUCCUUUGACACAAGAUACAACUUUUCCAGAAGGGUAAAGAUCAUAUAUAAACAUUAAGGUAUAAUGUUUUGGUGGGCCUAAAAGCAGCCAUCCUUAUAGAAUGCGUUAAAGCUCAAACAUAUUCACCACCCCCGAUCCUGACAAUUUUAUCUCAACCCCCUAAGCCUACCAGGCCAUCCCAUGCAAACAUGGAAGUGACCAUGCUAAUAUGAGUAAUAAGAGAGCACUAAUCUCUCUCCUUGCACAAGUGUAACUCGGAACGGACCUCCCACCGAACUUUAACGACCCCAAACAAAGAGGGCCCUGAACAACAGACCCGCCAACAAGAAAAACAUUCAACAGACUAAUCGUUAAACCCACACUGGUGUGCCCCUAAGGAAAGACUAAAAGAAAAAGAAGGAACUCGGCAAACACAUGAAGCCUCGCCUGUUUACCAAAAACAUCGCCUCUUGCAAAAUUAACGAAUAAGAGGUCCUGCCUGCCCUGUGACCAUGUGUUCAACGGCCGCGGUAUUUUGACCGUGCAAAGGUAGCGUAAUCACUUGUCUUUUAAAUGAAGACCCGUAUGAAUGGCAAGACGAGGGCUUAGCUGUCUCCUUUUUCAAGUCAAUGAAAUUGAUCUUCCCGUGCAGAAGCGGGAAUUACUUCAUAAGACGAGAAGACCCUAUGGAGCUUUAGACACCAAGACAGCCCACGUCAAAACUCCCUAAUGAAGGACUGAACUAAGUGGACCCUGUCCUAAUGUCUUUGGUUGGGGCGACCACGGGGAAAUACAAAACCCCCGCGUGGACUGGGAGCACCUCUACUCCUACAACUAAGAGCACCCGCUCUAACAAACAGAAUUUCUGACCAACAAGAUCCGGCAACGCCGAUCAACGAACCCAGUUACCCUAGGGAUAACAGCGCAAUCCUCUUUUAGAGCCCAUAUCGACAAGAGGGUUUACGACCUCGAUGUUGGAUCAGGACAUCCUAAUGGUGCAGCCGCUAUUAAGGGUUCGUUUGUUCAACGAUUAAAGUCCUACGUGAUCUGAGUUCAGACCGGAGUAAUCCAGGUCAGUUUCUAUCUAUGCUAUGAUCUUUUCUAGUACGAAAGGACCGAAAAGAAGGGGCCCAUGCUACAAGUACGCCCCAUCCUCACCUAAUGAAAUCAACUAAAAUAGACAAGAGGACAUACCCCGCCGCCUAAGAAAACGGCAU